AGAUAUGCACGACUCCCCCGUUCUCAUCUCCCCGCUUGUCAAACUCCGGGUCAAGCAACCGUCCCCGCAUUUUCCACUGAAUUCCCCACUCCCAGGCUUAACCGGUGUCCCUGCGGUCGAUCCCCUCCGCGGAUACGCUGGAUUCGAGAUCAGCGCCUUCGUCGAUGAUGGAGGCGGCACGCUAGCCAGGACAACUAACGGCGGCAGCGCGACCUAGGUGGCCGCGUGGUCCAAGCCGUGGGCGCGGCAACUACGCAUCGGCGCCAGCAAGCUCCGAGAAGGCGAGGAGAGGUCUACACGAGGUCCCUUGGCGGAGAACGACGGCGCGUCCACGAGCGAUGCGGGAGCUGAUUUGCAGAAUCACGCUGAUCGGUCAAGAAUCUCUUGCCCGCGCCCGGCGCAAGAAAGAGUGGCGACUCAAAGGGGAAUCCUGUGAUCAACCAGAAAUUGGACAUAACGGCCAGGACUACGACCCUGGCUUCUGCUCUAAGCUCCCACGUUGUAGAGGCCCUGGUGUUUCUGUGGAAGGUCAGCCAUUGCAGGAGCAGGAGUGCAUGGAGACUAUCCAGAAGAGGGAGGAAGCCCGCCGUACGAUGGACAAGGUGGUGCAGACCGCCACACACGACCCAAGUGCAAGGGGAAGUAUUGCGGGGAUGGGCGAUUUUCAAUCAAUGACUGACAAAUCAGUCUAGGGCCUUCUGCAGUCCUCGGUUCAAAGCAACUCCACGGAGACCUGUUAUUUUUCAUGCGCCCUGCCAUCGACGAGAACCCAGAGGAUGCGCAGGAGACCGCCCCGACAACUUCUCUCUCGUCAGCUGCGAGGACUUCCGCGAGUACAUCGAGUCCCAGAUCAUCUACAAUGAUAAGUUGCAUACAGAGACAACAUCACAUGGAGGAAGAAUCAGUUCCCUGCAUUACAUCAUUAUUUUCAGCUGUGGCACACCUGAUAGCUGGGUUGAGAAAAUACCCUGAUUUGUCUACACCCCAUGGAGAAGUUACACAUGUGUUUCCUGCCUAGGAGAACAACCGCGUUGUAGGGAGGCAACCAAAGGACAGAAGUAAAUGUCAAUGUGAAUACUGCGCCACCAGGAUACUUUGGCAGCUGCACCAGACCAUUUAUCUUUGGACCUUGCUGAUAGCAAAUAGAUUAGAAAUAUACUGUUCAUGUACUACUGGAUUUUUCUAACUUAUGGGAACACUUCAGUUACUUUUUCCAUGAUGCAGUACUUGCGGACAAUUCGAUCCCUGUGCUAGCAUGACGAUGCCAAUUACUUCGAUUUAGUUGUGUAUGCUUCCUCAGUUUUGUGUUAUUCGAAGUGAAGUGGUUAAUUCAAAGUUUUCUAUCAGCAGGCAUCCCUAUUAUUUUCUUCUAUAAACUAAGUUCCAGUGCCAUAAAACAUGUGUUAUUGAAAUACCUGCAAUUUGAGCAAGCCACCGCUACCUAGGCAAAGGUGCGGACAUGUGGUCAUCUCUUACAGUUUUCUCAUCCUUCUCUGCAUACCUAUACUACGCACCAAUUUAGGGAUCUAAAAAAAGUGACAUAUGGAGAUCAAUUGACUGUAGUGUGUUGUUAGUCCCCUCAUUACAGAGCAGUAGGACUGAAGAUGUGGUGCUCUGUUCUUGUAUGGUGCCAUAUUUAGUUAUGUACUUUUGUAAGGCUCAUAUGCAUCUGUUUUAGCCUUUGAACAUGGAAGCUGAACUUUUUAAUGAUCAGGCUAGAAGGUCCAAAGCCGAAUAGCAAAACUCCAAUUCUUUUUCAAUUGGUGAACUCCUGGAACGAUUUUCUUACUACUAAUUGAAUUUCCUUGUUGCAUAAAAUUAUUUCUAAAUAAAUAUCAUUAAAAAUACUUUAAAAUGGGUAGCAUCCCUCACAAACUGUCUGACUAUUAGUACUGAAUUCCACUGAUGUCACUUCACUAUUCUUGAUAUUGCUCCAUGUUGGUAGUGAUGUACUGAAUUGUGCACUGUCACUUAUGGUCACAUGAGACAUUAUGGCAUCUAUGUUACUUCAUGGAGUUAUAGGUAAACCGAGUGCCCUCAGCUUAUACACUGGCAAUUAAUUUCUAGAUAAACAAAAGCGAAAUGUUUUUGUGCCUCAAGUCUGCUUAACAUGGAUGCUUAUUUUCAUGGCUCUAUAAAAAUCGUACCCUGGUUUAGAUAUGUUUGGAUGACAUGUACAAUAGUAUAAAUGAGUGUUAAAUGAUACGAGUCCCUUCACAUAUCUUCCGUGGCAAUGGGUUGAAGCACGUAAAGUACGCAAAGCUAUUGUCAAUAGAGCAAGGUCUUCAGGUUAUCGAUAACAUAUUUCAGAAAGCAGUUUAGCUUUGUGCAUCAUCUUACACUGAAUAUGUCUAAUGCUGAUGUGACCAAUAUAGUAAAUGCACUAAUGUAUGUUCCUUUUGUCAUGCUUAAUAUACAUGAGGCACCAUCUGGGUUAUUUUGUGAUGGAGCAAAGAGAUGUAGAUGGAAAACGACUCAGAUACGAGGGAUCUCCUCUCACGUUGGCGGUGGCAGCUAAGGGCAUGCGAUGGCGGGAAGCUGGGCAGGCCUGAGCUCGAUGGCCAACGGCAGCUCUCCCCUCCCCUUCUUCCAUCUGCUCUAUGCUUGCUAUCUAUUGUCCUAUCUCUAUCUCUAUUUGAUUUCUUUGUUGUGGUAGUAGUCUCGUAAGGUUGAUAAAUAACAGUAACAAAGAUGUUCAUGGCAUGCGGCAUCUUUAUUUUCUGUUAUUUUUUGUAUUUAUGUAUGCAAACCUACAUGUUUCUGCAAAUUACGCCCGAGAUUGAAGUAUGCAAUAUAUUAUUGAUUUCUUUAUGAAAUUAGAGAAAGCUACUUGACUUCUCAAAAUAGAUAUAUGGAAUAAUAAUUCUUUAUUGAA
Non-coding RNA from Lolium perenne, 2875 nucleotides. NCBI's taxonomy places the organism in Eukaryota, Viridiplantae, Streptophyta, Magnoliopsida, Poales, Poaceae. The record is from RefSeq and is a predicted model, not a curated record.